RNAcentral lists this ribosomal RNA (540 nucleotides) under uncultured bacterium. RNAcentral's name for it is "bacterial SSU rRNA". It matches the Rfam family "Bacterial small subunit ribosomal RNA", at positions 969 to 1509 of the family's 1533-position model. The record is from RNAcentral.
CCUUACCUGGCCUUGACAUACUAAGAACUUUCCAGAGAUGGAUUGGUGCCUUCGGGAACUUAGAUACAGGUGCUGCAUGGCUGUCGUCAGCUCGUGUCGUGAGAUGUUGGGUUAAGUCCCGCAACGAGCGCAACCCUUUUCCUUAUUGCCAGCGGGUUAAGCCGGGAACUUUAAGGAUACUGCCAGUGACAAACUGGAGGAAGGCGGGGACGACGUCAAGUCAUCAUGGCCCUUACGGCCAGGGCUACACACGUGCUACAAUGGUCGGUACAAAGGGUUGCUACCUCGCGAGAGGAUGCUAAUCUCAAAAAGCCGAUCGUAGUCCGGAUCGCAGUCUGCAACUCGACUGCGUGAAGUCGGAAUCGCUAGUAAUCGCGGAUCAGAAUGCCGCGGUGAAUACGUUCCCGGGCCUUGUACACACCGCCCGUCACACCAUGGGAGUUUGUUGCACCAGAAGUAGGUAGUCUAACCGCAAGGAGGACGCUUACCACGGUGUGGCCGAUGACUGGGGUGAAGUCGUAACAAGGUAGGCGUAGAUGA